GCCAGACUCCUACGGGAGGCAGCAGUGAGGAAUAUUGGUCAAUGGGCGGGAGCCUGAACCAGCCAAGUCGCGUGAGGGAAGACGGUCCUACGGAUUGUAAACCUCUUUUGCCGGGGAGCAACGGGGUCCUUGCGAGGGCCCAAUGAGAGUACCCGGAGAAAAAGCAUCGGCUAACUCCGUGCCAGCAGCCGCGGUAAUACGGAGGAUGCGAGCGUUAUCCGGAUUUAUUGGGUUUAAAGGGUGCGUAGGCGGACGCCAAAGUCGGGGGUAAAUUCGGGGGGCUAAACCUCGCCCCGCCGUUGAAACUGGCGUUCUUGAGUGGGCGAGAAGUAUGCGGAAUGCGUGGUGUAGCGGUGAAAUGCUUAGAUAUCACGAAGAACUCCGAUUGCGAAGGCAGCCUACUAAACUGCCACUGACAUUGAUGCUCGAAAGUGUGGGUAUCAAACAGGAUUAGAUACCCUUGUA
Molecule: ribosomal RNA, 465 nt
Filed under: uncultured bacterium
Lineage: Bacteria
Description: bacterial SSU rRNA
Rfam family: Bacterial small subunit ribosomal RNA
Source: RNAcentral